RNAcentral lists this non-coding RNA (177 nucleotides) under Clostridium cavendishii. Its description in RNAcentral is "Lysine sequence". It matches the Rfam family "Lysine riboswitch aptamer". Rfam says of the family: Riboswitches are metabolite binding domains within certain messenger RNAs that serve as precision sensors for their corresponding targets. The record is from RNAcentral. Lineage: Bacteria; Bacillati; Bacillota; Clostridia; Eubacteriales; Clostridiaceae. RNAcentral also lists the same sequence under 1 other name.
AACUAAGGUAGAGGUGCAAAGAUUAAGAGUAUCAUAGUUGAGGUAAGCACAAUGACACUAUGAGAAAGGAAAAUUUGCCGAAGUGAGUAAGCUAACGCUUUAAAGCUACUUGCUGGUUUUGAUUAGAAUAUAAGCAAAACUGUCACAAUUUAAAGUUUGUGGAGAGCUAUCAUUCAA